UGAGCCAUUAGCUCAGUCGGUAGAGCAUCUGACUUUUAAUCAGAGGGUCGAAGGUUCAAGUCCUUCAUGGCUCAUCC
Molecule: transfer RNA, 77 nt
Filed under: Bacillus sp. TS-2
Lineage: Bacteria; Bacillati; Bacillota; Bacilli; Caryophanales; Bacillaceae
Description: tRNA-Lys
Rfam family: tRNA
About the family: Transfer RNA (tRNA) molecules are approximately 80 nucleotides in length. Their secondary structure includes four short double-helical elements and three loops (D, anti-codon, and T loops).
Source: RNAcentral